RNAcentral lists this ribosomal RNA (292 nucleotides) under uncultured bacterium. RNAcentral describes it as "partial 16S ribosomal RNA". It matches the Rfam family "Bacterial small subunit ribosomal RNA", at positions 505 to 796 of the family's 1533-position model. The record is from RNAcentral.
GUGCCAGCCGCCGCGGUAAUACAGAGGGUGCGAGCGUUGUCCGGAAUCACUGGGCGUAAAGGGCGCGUAGGCGGCUUGGCAAGCGUGCGGUGAAAGCUCUGGGCUCAACCCCGAGUCUGCCGUGCGAACUGCCGGGCUUGAGCACAGUAGAGGCAGAUGGAAUUCCGGGUGUAGCGGUGGAAUGCGUAGAGAUCCGGAAGAACACCGGUGGCGAAGGCGGUCUGCUGGGCUGUGUCUGACGCUGAGGCGCGACAGCGUGGGGAGCAAACAGGAUUAGAAACCCUUGUAGUCC